CCUCCAGAGGUAGUUUCAAUCAAUUUCGUAUUGGCAUCUUCAUCUGCUCUAAUUCGAAGAUAUCAUCAACUAAUCAAUUACUCAUUUACUCAUUAUUUUUUGCCGGGCAGGGCUUGGAAACGGUUCAUCAAUACUGUUCCGGGUAAAUGGAAACCGGAGCUUACAUUUGAAGAUUACCCUUGUAUGAGGCAGGAACAAGGGAAUAACUUAUGUGGAUACUACGUCUGCACCUUCAUGCGUGACAUGGCCUGUCCCAAGGGUGGGGAUGCCCGUAUACACCACACUCGUAUGACACGCCUGCGGGACACUCUCAUAACAGCGGAUCAAAUAAAAGCAAUUCAAGAGGAAAUCGCGGGAUUCUUUAUUACCGAGGCCCUUACCCCAGGUGGAGAGCACUAUCGGCAGAUCGUGACGGCGAAGGAUAUUCGUCGAGGAGAUGUUGUAUUGUAAAUAUGCAUGCAUUACGUGUACUGUGUUGACUAUGUCGUGUACUGUU
Molecule: non-coding RNA, 496 nt
Organism: Lolium perenne
Lineage: Eukaryota; Viridiplantae; Streptophyta; Magnoliopsida; Poales; Poaceae
Source: RefSeq, a predicted model, not a curated record